This 245-nucleotide ribosomal RNA is filed under the name uncultured Lachnospiraceae bacterium. RNAcentral's name for it is "partial 16S ribosomal RNA". It matches the Rfam family "Bacterial small subunit ribosomal RNA", at positions 524 to 768 of the family's 1533-position model. Lineage: Bacteria; Bacillati; Bacillota; Clostridia; Lachnospirales; Lachnospiraceae. The record is from RNAcentral.
UACGUAUGGAGCAAGCGUUAUCCGGAUUUACUGGGUGUAAAGGGAGCGUAGGCGGCCUAAUAAGUCUGAUGUGAAAACCCAUGGCUCAACCGUGGGAUUGCAUUGGAAACUGUAAGGCUAGAGUGUCGGAGGGGCAAGUGGAAUUCCUAGUGUAGCGGUGAAAUGCAUAGAUAUUAGGAGGAACACCAGUGGCGAAGGCGGCUUGCUGGACGAUUACUGACGCUGAGACUCGAAAGCGUGGGGAG